GACGAACGCUGGCGGCGUGCUUAACACAUGCAAGUCGAACGGAAAGGCCCUGCUUUUGUGGGGUGCUCGAGUGGCGAACGGGUGAGUAACACGUGAGUAACCUGCCCUUGACUUUGGGAUAACUUCAGGAAACUGGGGCUAAUACCGGAUAGGAGCUCCUGCUGCAUGGUGGGGGUUGGAAAGUUUCGGCGGUUGGGGAUGGACUCGCGGCUUAUCAGCUUGUUGGUGGGGUAGUGGCUUACCAAGGCUUUGACGGGUAGCCGGCCUGAGAGGGUGACCGGCCACAUUGGGACUGAGAUACGGCCCAGACGCCUACGGGAGGCAGCAGUGGGGAAUAUUGCACAAUGGGCGGAAGCCUGAGGCAGCAACGCCGCGUGCGGGAUGACGGCCUUCGGGGUGUAAACCGCUUUCGCCUGUGACGAAGCGUGAGUGACGGUAAUGGGUAAAGAAGCACCGGCUAACUACGUG
RNAcentral lists this ribosomal RNA (468 nucleotides) under uncultured bacterium. Its description in RNAcentral is "partial 16S ribosomal RNA". It matches the Rfam family "Bacterial small subunit ribosomal RNA", at positions 28 to 507 of the family's 1533-position model. The record is from RNAcentral.